RNAcentral lists this ribosomal RNA (434 nucleotides) under uncultured bacterium. RNAcentral describes it as "partial 16S ribosomal RNA". It matches the Rfam family "Bacterial small subunit ribosomal RNA", at positions 29 to 507 of the family's 1533-position model. The record is from RNAcentral.
AGCGAACGCUGGCGGCAGGCCUAACACAUGCAAGUCGAACGAACCUUUCGGGGUUAGUGGCGGACGGGUGAGUAACACGUGGGAACGUGCCUUUAGGUUCGGAAUAACUCAGGGAAACUUGUGCUAAUACCGAAUGUGCCCUUCGGGGGAAAGAUUAAUCGCCUUUAGAGCGGCCCGCGUCUGAUUAGCUAGUUGGUUGAGGUAAUGGCUCACCAAGGCGACGAUCAGUAGCUGGUCUGAGAGGAUGAUCAGCCACAUUGGGACUGAGACACGGCCCAAACUCCUACGGGAGGGAGCAGUGGGGAAUCUUGCGCAAUGGGCGAAAGCCUGACGCAGCCAUGCCGCGUGAAUGAUGAAGGUCUUAGGAUUGUAAAAUUCUUUCACCGGGGACGAUAAUGACGGUACCCGGAGAAGAAGCCCCGGCUAACUUCGUG